AUGAACGCUGGCGGCGUGCCUAAUACCUGCAAGUCGAGCGCACGGACGAGAAGCUUGCUUUUCUGAUGUUAGCGGCGGACGGGUGAGUAACACGUGGAUAACCUACCUAUAAGACUGGGAUAACUUCGGGAAACCGGAGCUAAUACCGGAUAAUAUUUUGAACCGCAUGGUUCAAAAGUGAAAGACGGUCUUGCUGUCACUUAUAGAUGGAUCCGCGCUGCAUUAGCUAGUUGGUAAGGUAACGGCUUACCAAGGCAACGAUGCAUAGCCGACCUGAGAGGGUGAUCGGCCACACUGGAACUGAGACACGGUCCAGACUCCUACGGGAGGCAGCAGUAGGGAAUCUUCCGCAAUGGGCGAAAGCCUGACGGAGCAACGCCGCGUGAGUGAUGAAGGUCUUCGGAUCGUAAAACUCUGUUAUUAGGGAAGAACAUAUGUGUAAGUAACUGUGCACAUCUUGACGGUACCUAAUCAGAAAGCCACGGCUAACUACGUG
This 496-nucleotide ribosomal RNA is filed under the name uncultured bacterium. RNAcentral's name for it is "partial 16S ribosomal RNA". It matches the Rfam family "Bacterial small subunit ribosomal RNA", at positions 29 to 507 of the family's 1533-position model. The record is from RNAcentral.